GCCUGGGUGGCUCAGUCGGUUAAGCAUCUGACUUCGGCUCAGGUCCUGAUCUCACAGUUUGUGAGUUCGAGUCCCGCAUCGGGCU
This 85-nucleotide transfer RNA is filed under the name Felis catus (domestic cat). It matches the Rfam family "tRNA". Rfam says of the family: Transfer RNA (tRNA) molecules are approximately 80 nucleotides in length. Their secondary structure includes four short double-helical elements and three loops (D, anti-codon, and T loops). Lineage: Eukaryota; Metazoa; Chordata; Mammalia; Carnivora; Felidae. The record is from Rfam by way of RNAcentral.